GCUCAGAUUGAACGCUGGCGGCAGGCCUAACACAUGCAAGUCGAACGGUAACAGGAAACAGCUUGCUGUUUCGCUGACGAGUGGCGGACGGGUGAGUAAUGUCUGGGAAACUGCCUGAUGGAGGGGGAUAACUACUGGAAACGGUAGCUAAUACCGCAUAACGUCGCAAGACCAAAGAGGGGGACCUUCGGGCCUCUUGCCAUCAGAUGUGCCCAGAUGGGAUUAGCUAGUAGGUGGGGUAACGGCUCACCUAGGCGACGAUCCCUAGCUGGUCUGAGAGGAUGACCAGCCACACUGGAACUGAGACACGGUCCAGACUCCUGCGGGAGGCAGCAGUGGGGAAUAUUGCACAAUGGGCGCAAGCCUGAUGCAGCCAUGCCGCGUGUAUGAAGAAGGCCUUCGGGUUGUAAAGUACUUUCAGCGGGGAGGAAGGGAGUAAAGUUAAUACCUUUGCUCAUUGACGUUACCCGCAGAAGAAGCACCGGCUAACUCCGUGCCAGCAGCCGCGGUAAUACGGAGGGUGCAAGCGUCAAUCGGAAUUACUGGGCGUAAAGCGCACGCAGGCGGUUUGUUAAGUCAGAUGUGAAAUCCCCGGGCUCAACCUGGGAACUGCAUCUGAUACUGGCAAGCUUGAGUCUCGUAGAGGGGGGUAGAGUUCCAGGUGUAGCGGUGAAAUGCGUAGAGAUCUGGAGGAAUACCGGUGGCGAAGGCGGCCCCCUGGACGAAGACUGACGCUCAGGUGCGAAAGCGUGGGGAGCAAACAGGAUUAGAUACCCUGGUAGUCCACGCCGUAAACGAUGUCGACUUGGAGGUUGUGCCCUUGAGGCGUGGCUUCCGGAGCUAACGUGUUAAGUCGACCGCCUGGGGAGUACGGCCGCAAGGUUAAAACUCAAAUGAAUUGACGGGGGCCCGCACAAGCGGUGGAGCAUGUGGUUUAAUUCGAUGCAACGCGAAGAACCUUACCUGAUCUUGACAUCCACGGAAGUUUUCAGAGAUGAGAAUGUGCCUUCGGGAACCGUGAGACAGGUGCUGCAUGGCUGUCGUCAGCUCGUGUUGUGAAAUGUUGGGUUAAGUCCCGCAACGAGCGCAACCCUUAUCCUUUGUUGCCAGCGGUCCGGCCGGGAACUCAAAGGAGACUGCCAGUGAUAAACUGGAGGAAGGUGGGGAUGACGUCAAGUCAUCAUGGCCCUUACGACCAGGGCUACACACGUGCUACAAUGGCGCAUACAAAGAGAAGCGACCUCGCGAGAGCAAGCGGACCUCAUAAAGUGCGUCGUAGUCCGGAUUGGAGUCUGCAACUCGACUCCAUGAAGUCGGAAUCGCUAGUAAUCGUGGAUCAGAAUGCCACGGUGAAUACGUUCCCGGGCCUUGUACACACCGCCCGUCACACCAUGGGAGUGGGUUGCAAAAGAAGUAGGUAGCUUAACCUUCGGGAGGGCGCUUACCACUUUGUGAUUCAUGACUGGGGUGAAGUCGUAACAAGGUAACCGUAGGGGAACCUGCGGUUG
Molecule: ribosomal RNA, 1508 nt
Filed under: metagenome
Description: bacterial SSU rRNA
Rfam family: Bacterial small subunit ribosomal RNA
Source: RNAcentral